Molecule: long non-coding RNA, 1696 nt
Organism: Lutra lutra (Eurasian river otter)
Lineage: Eukaryota; Metazoa; Chordata; Mammalia; Carnivora; Mustelidae
Exons: 4
Source: RefSeq, a predicted model, not a curated record
GGCCGGAGAAGCUGAAGGAAGUAAGGAGGAGCCUGGUGGAGGAAAUGCUUCAGAGAAGAGGAAACGUGCACGAUGUCCUUUUCGCAUCCCAUGUGGCAAGACGAAACGUAGGGCUCAGGAUACACAAUAGCCUUCAUCCCUGAAAGAUUUGUUCAACAAGGCCCCCCUCAGGUGUCUCCAGAAGUCCUGGAAGAUGAUAAAUGGUGAUGACCACCACUCACAGAACUUCCAGAGCAAAUGUUCCACCUGACCAACCAUAUGGCUCUUCUGCUUGGUGUCACCAUGGCUCCUGUAGUCAUUAAGGCUGGGAGUUUCUUGAGAGCUGGCUUGGUGGUUCCAGCCACCCUGGGACCCAGCCCAGUGCCUGGAACAUAGAAGGAACCCAACAAAUGGGGUUGGUUGAAUGGAUGACCUCAUACCAUCUGACUGUUCCCAACCUUCUUUAAUUAUGAUCUUUGGUACCUCAAUUCUUUAUCUUAUUUAUUACUCUUUUUUGGACACUUUUUAAUACAGAACAUACACACAUUUGCCCAGGCUCACCCUCCCUCUCCCCUCCCCUCAAAUAUACACACUGGCUUUAUAUAUUUGCAACAGAACUUGACUACAGGAUUUAGCUGGGACACUCACACUUGUUGGGACAGUUCACAAAAACAGAAAAAAAGAUGAUGGAUGACUUUGUCCCAGCUCUUGCGCAUUUUAGCAGGAUGAAAUCUCUUGGUGGUGUCUGAUUUCAGAGCACACCUGUGGACCUAGUGACAGCCUGUGCUCCUGAGUAGGUUUGGGAAAGCACUUAUUUAUUAUAAAGCUAAAAUUAAACUACACGUUUUUACAUGUUGCAGAGCGGCCGCCGCUGAUGCAAAACUCUGUCAACACGGAACUUUUCACACCUUGGGUUCCAGCUUCAAUAGGACUCCCAGAUCAAAGGAGAAACUGACAAGUUCUAUGGCAGUGAGGUGACCGUCCUGCCCGGAGCAGCUGGGAAGCGCCCUGUUCUGGGAUGUGCAAGAACAUCCUGCUCACAGCAAAAAGACCCAGAUGAGCCCCUAUGAAACUGCUUCCUGACCCAGACUCUUCCCACUGCAACACUGCUGUUGAGAACAGCCCUCUGUGCACAGUGUCUCAUAGGAUCCACAUUUGCAGGGCAGGACAAAGACAUCUCUCAGUCCUUACCAUUACAGAGACAGCUCUGGUUUCCAAAGUGAGGUGGAAACUAGAAUGUAGGACCAGAUUUAAAAAAGAACAAGUGCUAAUUGAAAUGGAAAGCUAAAAGUUAAUAAGACCCUCACACCACAGAGGGGAUGAGCUCGAUGCGGGAAAGCCAUCAGUUGUAACGAGGCCUACCUGCUGUUAUGAUUACUGGUAUUAUUACUUUACAACCCUUUAGGCAUUUAGAUUUUAUAAGGUAUUUUUAUAUACAUGACUGUUGAUCUUUAAUCAAAAGUAGGUACUGUAAUCUUUUACAGAUGAGGAAACAGAAGCUUCUAGAAGUUACGUGAUCCUGUACAAGGGUAGCCACCUAGCAGACAGAUGAGCUGGGACGGAGAAAAUAAAUCUAGGGAUGCAUCACACACUUUUAUUACUGAUGAAAUGAAGGUAUUUGCUGAGAUAUCUUUACAAAGCACCUGACUGAAGAGGAGACUCAUAAGCAAUAUUGUGGGGCGCCUGGGUGGCUCAGUCAGUUUAAUGUCUGCCUUCA